GAAUUCUAUUGUUGCUGAGCUACAUGGUGAAGUUGGGUGGCCAGGUAAGCACUUGAUGUUUUAUUCUAGAAAAAGAAAUGUUUAUGCAUACAUACAUACAUACAUACAUACAUACAUACAUACAUAAAUACAUACAAUAAAAAUGUCAAAACAAAGCUAGAGGCUUAUUCUUUAAAUUUACAUAUGCAGAUAAAUCUGUUACUUGAUCAUCAAAGUUUUUUCAAACAUCAAAACCGUGUUGAUUCAAAACACCUUCCAAAUCCCACCUCUUUCAUUUGUAUAUUUGUUUUUUUUGAAGCAUCUUCUAGCUAUGGUGAACCAAAAUACACUCAAGGAGAAAACAUCUAGUGGUAUGCAGGGUGUAAACAACGAAUGGUGCACACUUCUUCACCUUCUUGGCUGUUGUCUUCUUUCACAAGCACAUCUUCAAUCAUCAUGGGGUUCUAUUGAAAAGAAAGUUAAUGAAGCCAUUUCUUGCUUUUUUUAGGUAUGUGUUAUGUGACAUAUCAUCCACUAAUGUAUCAUUUAUCAUUCAGCAUCUUUUACUUUGAUGGGUAUAGAUACAGAAGGGUAAAAUGGUCAUUUACUUGCAUUCAAACAGUUUAUUCAUUUAGUAAAAAAAGGGACAUAUAUAUAGGUGUGUUUCUUAUUGACCUAACAAAUACAAAGGGGUAGAAUGGUCAUUUACUUGCAUUCAGAUAGUUCACUAGGGGGUGAUGCUUUUUGACAUAGUACAUACAAAGGGGUGUUUCUUUUUGAAUUCAUAUGUACAGAAGGGUAAUAGGGUCAUUUACUCACAUUCACAUAGUUCAUCCAGUCAACAAAAUAGACAAAUACGUAGUUGUGUUUUCUUUUUGACUUAAUGCACUUAUUAAUAUGGCUAUUAUUAUUAUUAUUAUUAUUAUUAUUAUUAUUAUUAUUAUUAUUAUUAUUUAUUGCUAUAUGUUAAUGUUAUUUUUUUUAUUAAUAUAUAGGUUAAUUCGUUCGGAAUCUAACACAGCUGGAAGAAGGUCGUGGAUACUUUC
This 1025-nucleotide long non-coding RNA is filed under the name Lactuca sativa (garden lettuce). RNAcentral describes it as "long non-coding RNA (LSAT_LNC009708)". Lineage: Eukaryota; Viridiplantae; Streptophyta; Magnoliopsida; Asterales; Asteraceae. The record is from RNAcentral.